This 1387-nucleotide ribosomal RNA is filed under the name Escherichia coli. Its description in RNAcentral is "partial 23S ribosomal RNA". It matches the Rfam family "Bacterial large subunit ribosomal RNA", at positions 1428 to 2798 of the family's 2925-position model. The record is from RNAcentral. Lineage: Bacteria; Pseudomonadati; Pseudomonadota; Gammaproteobacteria; Enterobacterales; Enterobacteriaceae.
GGUUAAUAUUCCUGUACUUGGUGUUACUGCGAAGGGGGGACGGAGAAGGCUAUGUUGGCCGGGCGACGGUUGUCCCGGUUUAAGCGUGUAGGCUGGUUUUCCAGGCAAAUCCGGAAAAUCAAGGCUGAGGCGUGAUGACGAGGCACUACGGUGCUGAAGCAACAAAUGCCCUGCUUCCAGGAAAAGCCUCUAAGCAUCAGGUAACAUCAAAUCGUACCCCAAACCGACACAGGUGGUCAGGUAGAGAAUACCAAGGCGCUUGAGAGAACUCGGGUGAAGGAACUAGGCAAAAUGGUGCCGUAACUUCGGGAGAAGGCACGCUGAUAUGUAGGUGAAGCGACUUGCUCGUGGAGCUGAAAUCAGUCGAAGAUACCAGCUGGCUGCAACUGUUUAUUAAAAACACAGCACUGUGCAAACACGAAAGUGGACGUAUACGGUGUGACGCCUGCCCGGUGCCGGAAGGUUAAUUGAUGGGGUUAGCCGCAAGGCGAAGCUCUUGAUCGAAGCCCCGGUAAACGGCGGCCGUAACUAUAACGGUCCUAAGGUAGCGAAAUUCCUUGUCGGGUAAGUUCCGACCUGCACGAAUGGCGUAAUGAUGGCCAGGCUGUCUCCACCCGAGACUCAGUGAAAUUGAACUCGCUGUGAAGAUGCAGUGUACCCGCGGCAAGACGGAAAGACCCCGUGAACCUUUACUAUAGCUUGACACUGAACAUUGAGCCUUGAUGUGUAGGAUAGGUGGGAGGCUUUGAAGUGUGGACGCCAGUCUGCAUGGAGCCGACCUUGAAAUACCACCCUUUAAUGUUUGAUGUUCUAACGUUGACCCGUAAUCCGGGUUGCGGACAGUGUCUGGUGGGUAGUUUGACUGGGGCGGUCUCCUCCUAAAGAGUAACGGAGGAGCACGAAGGUUGGCUAAUCCUGGUCGGACAUCAGGAGGUUAGUGCAAUGGCAUAAGCCAGCUUGACUGCGAGCGUGACGGCGCGAGCAGGUGCGAAAGCAGGUCAUAGUGAUCCGGUGGUUCUGAAUGGAAGGGCCAUCGCUCAACGGAUAAAAGGUACUCCGGGGAUAACAGGCUGAUACCGCCCAAGAGUUCAUAUCGACGGCGGUGUUUGGCACCUCGAUGUCGGCUCAUCACAUCCUGGGGCUGAAGUAGGUCCCAAGGGUAUGGCUGUUCGCCAUUUAAAGUGGUACGCGAGCUGGGUUUAGAACGUCGUGAGACAGUUCGGUCCCUAUCUGCCGUGGGCGCUGGAGAACUGAGGGGGGCUGCUCCUAGUACGAGAGGACCGGAGUGGACGCAUCACUGGUGUUCGGGUUGUCAUGCCAAUGGCACUGCCCGGUAGCUAAAUGCGGAAGAGAUAAGUGCUGAAAGCAUCUAAGCACGAAACUUGCC